RNAcentral lists this long non-coding RNA (948 nucleotides) under Homo sapiens (human). RNAcentral's name for it is "HSALNT0273094". The record is from RNAcentral. Lineage: Eukaryota; Metazoa; Chordata; Mammalia; Primates; Hominidae.
GAGAACCGUGCUCAGGAGGAAGAGACCAGAAGGAUAACUCAAAAAGUUCUGAGAAGUUCCUAAGACCACCUGAAGAGAAGGAGCCUGCUGCCAAUGGUGUGGACACCGCAGUGUGCUUGAGGAGACUUCAGAAACGAGAACUGUCUUCAAAGGAGAACGACCCAUUUCCCAAUUUACUUGAUAGAAGUCCCUAAACUCGGAGCAUCGAGUGUGAGGCUUUGGAGCUGCAAGUGCCUGAGCUUGGAUUUCAGGUUAAUUGUGGUCUCAGAUGCUGCCAUCUAACCAAUCUAAGAAUCCCAUGUUGGGCUGGAAAAUGCGUCUGGAGAGUAGGGGACGGUAUUUGCUGCUCAGUUGUUAGAGAUGAGGUCCCACUAUGAUGCCCAGGCUGGUCUCAAAUUCUUGGACUGAUGCGAUCCUCUCAUCUCAGCCUCCCGAAGUGCUGGAAUUACAGGCAUGAGCCACCUCACCAGGCCUAGACUUGGAUUGUGAAAGGCAUCUCAACCAUGACACAUUCCAAAGGCAAACUUCUUGAUUGAACCCGCAACUUUGCUUAGCCAGCCCCAUUUCUCCACCAUGCUUUCUACCCUAGUUAAUGGUGCCAGCCUUCACACAGCUGCUCAAACCGGCCCUGGCUGUUCUUGAUUCUUCUUCUGGCCUCUUGGACUCCGCCAUGUUAUUCAGAGCCAUUUGGUGACUUCUGACAGCUCUGCCUCAAAAUGCUUCUCAGAUCUGUUUCUCUCCUUCUUUCCCCUCUACAGCCAGACUGGUUCAAGCCCCAUCACAUCUCAUGUGGACCAUGUGGGUGCUCAGUGCAUGCUAUGGAGUGAAUCAGCAGUGGGGUUGUUUCCUCAUUGACCUCCAAUAUCUGACUGUUCUCAGUGGUUCUAAAGAGUCCUGUCAGCAAAUGUAAUUUAUCUUCAAGGAAACUUUGGGAUUACAUGUCUUUUU